UGGUUCCUACGGGGGGCAGCAGUGGGGAAUAUUGCACAAUGGGGGAAACCCUGAUGCAGCGACGCCGCGUGAGUGAGGAAGUAUUUCGGUAUGUAAAGCUCUAUCAGCAGGGAAGAAAAUGACGGUACCUGACUAAGAAGCCCCGGCUAACUACGUGCCAGCAGCCGCGGUAAUACGUAGGGGGCAAGCGUUAUCCGGAUUUACUGGGUGUAAAGGUAGCGUAGGUGGCAAGGCAAGUCAGAUGUGACACCCCGGGGCCCAACCCCGGGAGUGCAUUUGAAACUGUCUGGCUAGAGGGCAGGGGA
This 305-nucleotide ribosomal RNA is filed under the name uncultured bacterium. Its description in RNAcentral is "bacterial SSU rRNA". It matches the Rfam family "Bacterial small subunit ribosomal RNA", at positions 333 to 655 of the family's 1533-position model. The record is from RNAcentral.